This 839-nucleotide long non-coding RNA is filed under the name Nicotiana tabacum (common tobacco). RNAcentral's name for it is "long non-coding RNA (NTAB_LNC000191)". Lineage: Eukaryota; Viridiplantae; Streptophyta; Magnoliopsida; Solanales; Solanaceae. The record is from RNAcentral.
GUAGAGGAGGGGCUUCUUCCAGUGGAGGAGGAGGAGGCAUUCCUUGGGGAAUAGGAGGAGGCGGAAUCAUAGACAUUCCGGGCUGGGACAUCGGGAGGGGAACAAAGGGGCGAGGUGCUCCCAAAGGUGUAAACUGUGAUCCAGGAGGUGGUGGAAUAGGAUGGCCAUGCGAAUUCAUGGCCAUUGAUGGAGGCAUUGGUGGACGAUUUACCAUGAGAUUUUGCUGACCUAGCAUCUGUGGCAUGGGAGGAGGUGGGGGCCGAACCUGAGGAAUCAUGUUAACCAUAGGAGGUCGAGGUGGAGGCGGAGCAGCAACCCCAGCACCGGUGGAGGUGGAAUACUGGACGGUAUUAGGAGGCCUAGGAAUAUUCAGCGCAAGCCCAGGAGGUGGAGGUAGUGGCCUAACAGAUGGAAAACCAGGUCUGGGAGGUGGAGGAGCCUGCGGACCAGGAAGGUUUCUUUCAUCAUUUGCAGCAUCAUUCUGAUCAUCUGCAUUAGUGUUGUGAGACAUUGCCUGGCUUGCAGUGCGACCAAUGCUACCUGUGUGACCAUCCCAUAUGACCUGCUUCGGCUCUUCCUUUUUUUUCUCAAUCUCAGCCUUGACCGCAUUUGAAACUUCUUCUUCCGUAGUACCAAAUAUAUCCGGACGGGUUCUUGCAAGCCCAACAAUGUUCCUAGAUAUCUCAUCAUCCUGCGCAAGAGUUGUCUCCUUAAUCUUCGCAAACAUCCUGUCUUUCUGUUCCUUGUACUUUGGAUCAAUGAGAGAGAUCCUCAUAUGUUCAGACAUUUCAUUAAUAGGUAUUAGCUCACCAGUUAUAGGAGAGACAACAUACUUAGUC